Molecule: ribosomal RNA, 392 nt
Filed under: uncultured bacterium
Lineage: Bacteria
Description: partial 16S ribosomal RNA
Rfam family: Bacterial small subunit ribosomal RNA
Source: RNAcentral
AUACGGAGGAUCCGAGCGUUAUCCGGAUUUAUUGGGUUUAAAGGGUGCGCAGGCGGCCAUUUAAGUCAGCGGUUAAAUCGUGGGGCUCAACCCCAUUCUGCCGUUGAUACUGGGUGGCUUGAUUGCGGUCGAGGUUGGCGGAAUUCGUUGUGUAGCGGGGAAAUGCAUAGAUAUGACGAAGAACACCGAUUGCGUAGGCAGCUGACCAGACCGCAAAUGACGCUCAUGCACGAAAGUGCGGGGAUCGAACAGGAUUAGAUACCCUGGUAGUCCGCACAGUAAACGAUGAAUACUUGUUUUCGGCGAUAUAAUGUCGGAGGCAAGGCGAAAGCGAUAAGUAUUCCACCUGGGGAGUACGCCGGCAACGGUGAAACUCAAAGGAAUUGGCGGGG